Molecule: transfer RNA, 74 nt
Filed under: Bacteroidales bacterium
Lineage: Bacteria; Pseudomonadati; Bacteroidota; Bacteroidia; Bacteroidales
Also listed under: 4 other names
Description: tRNA-Gln
Rfam family: tRNA
About the family: Transfer RNA (tRNA) molecules are approximately 80 nucleotides in length. Their secondary structure includes four short double-helical elements and three loops (D, anti-codon, and T loops). Further hydrogen bonds mediate the characteristic L-shaped molecular structure. tRNAs have two regions of fundamental functional importance: the anti-codon, which is responsible for specific mRNA codon recognition, and the 3' end, to which the tRNAs corresponding amino acid is attached (by aminoacyl-tRNA synthetases). tRNAs cope with the degeneracy of the genetic code in two manners: having more than one tRNA (with a specific anti-codon) for a particular amino acid; and 'wobble' base-pairing, i.e. permitting non-standard base-pairing at the 3rd anti-codon position.
Source: RNAcentral
UGGGCUAUGGUGUAAUGGUAGCACAAGACAUUUUGGUCGUCUUAGUUCUGGUUCGAAACCGGAUAGCCCAACCA